Molecule: non-coding RNA, 119 nt
Organism: Enhygromyxa salina
Lineage: Bacteria; Pseudomonadati; Myxococcota; Nannocystales; Nannocystaceae
Source: Rfam
GAGGGAUGGCCCCUCGGAGUCGGGUUGCAGGAUCAGGCUCCAAACCACCUCGAGCUGCGUCGGUCAAGAGCCGUCGUGGUGAGCGUCGAGGGAAAGUCGCGAGGGAUAUCGCGACAGGU